CACGUAGGGUGCGAGCGUUGUCCGGAAUUAUUGGGCGUAAAGAGCUCGUAGGCGGUGUGUCGCGUCGGCCGUGAAAACCUGGGGCUUAACUCUGGGCUUGCGGUCGAUACGGGCAUCACUGGAGUUCGGCAGGGGAGACUGGAAUUCCUGGUGUAGCGGUGAAAUGCGCAGAUAUCAGGAAGAACACCCGUGGCUAAGGCGGCUCUCUAGUACGUGACUGACGCUGAGACGCGAAAGCGUGGGGAGCGAACAGG
This 254-nucleotide ribosomal RNA is filed under the name uncultured bacterium. RNAcentral describes it as "partial 16S ribosomal RNA". It matches the Rfam family "Bacterial small subunit ribosomal RNA", at positions 524 to 776 of the family's 1533-position model. The record is from RNAcentral.